GACGAACGCUGGCGGCGUGCCUAAUACAUGCAAGUUGAGCGCUGAAGGUUGGUACUUGUACCAACUGGAUGAGCAGCGAACGGGUGAGUAACGCGUGGGGAAUCUGCCUUUGAGCGGGGGACAACAUCUGGAAACGAAUGCUAAUACCGCAUAAAAACUUUAAACACAAGUUUUAAGUUUGAAAGAUGCAAUUGCAUCACUCAAAGAUGAUCCCGCGUUGUAUUAGCUAGUUGGUGAGGUAAAGGCUCACCAAGGCGAUGAUACAUAGCCGACCUGAGAGGGUGAUCGGCCACAUUGGGACUGAGACACGGCCCAAACUCCUACGGGAGGCAGCAGUAGGGAAUCUUCGGCAAUAGACGAAAGUCUGACCGAGCAACGCCGCGUGAGUGAAGAAGGUUUUCGGAUCGUAAAACUCUGUUGGUAGAGAAGAACGUUGGUGAGAGUGGAAAGCUCAUCAAGUGACGGUAACUACACAGAAAGGGACGGCUAACUGCGUG
RNAcentral lists this ribosomal RNA (497 nucleotides) under uncultured bacterium. RNAcentral's name for it is "partial 16S ribosomal RNA". It matches the Rfam family "Bacterial small subunit ribosomal RNA", at positions 28 to 507 of the family's 1533-position model. The record is from RNAcentral.